AUGCAAAACCGCGAGGUGGAGCGAACCCCUAAAAGCCGUCCCAGUUCAGAUCGCAGUCUGCAACCCGACUGCGUGAAGUCGGAAUCGCUAGUAAUCGCGGAUCAGCAUGCCGCGGUGAAUACGUUCCCGGGCCUUGUACACACCGCCCGUCACACCAUGAGAGUCGGGAACACCCGAAGUCCGUAGCCUAACCGCAAGGGGGGCGCGGCCGAAGGUGGGUUCGAUAAUUGGGGUGAAGUCGUAACAAGGUAAC
Molecule: ribosomal RNA, 253 nt
Filed under: uncultured bacterium
Lineage: Bacteria
Description: partial 16S ribosomal RNA
Rfam family: Bacterial small subunit ribosomal RNA
Source: RNAcentral